Molecule: ribosomal RNA, 294 nt
Filed under: Triticum aestivum (bread wheat)
Lineage: Eukaryota; Viridiplantae; Streptophyta; Magnoliopsida; Poales; Poaceae
Description: partial small subunit ribosomal RNA
Source: RNAcentral
AUGCAAGGCCCUUCGGCGCCAGAUCGCCGACCCGGCUUUCCUCUCCCCGCUCCGCCUCCGAGGCGCCGACCGGUUCGUGCCCGCGCUGUUCCGCGGCAUGUUCAUCCAGAACCUGCGCGCGGCGGCGGCCGAGCACCCGCGGUUCGUCGUCCCCGGCCGCUCCAAGGAGCCGCCCCCCGAGCCGUUCCGCUCCUUUCUGUCCAAGUACACCACCCUCUUCGACUUCUACCACCCCGUCCUGGCAGCGCGGCACGGCCUCGUCGCCCUCCGCUCCGACGCCACCCCCGAGACUGA